RNAcentral lists this small RNA (496 nucleotides) under Histoplasma ohiense. RNAcentral's name for it is "hypothetical lncRNA". The record is from RNAcentral. Lineage: Eukaryota; Fungi; Ascomycota; Eurotiomycetes; Onygenales; Ajellomycetaceae.
CUGCAAGAGAUGAGAUCCAAGAGGGAUAUAGUGCUGCAUGAGAAGAAUUUCAAGCUCCAGCUAAAAAGAACAACAAACAUGGAAUCAGCACUUGUCCACAGCUGUGACACCAAAGCCAACCCACCAUGCAGCUCAUGUGAGAAGGGCCACAGUCUGUUUGUUGGAUGUAUUGUGAUCUUCAGCAUGUUGAAGAGAGCCUGUGCGAAUUGUCACUACAAUUCACUAAGCAAACACUGCAGCUUGCAGCCCAAGAAUCAGCAGUCCACUGGCCCUGCAGCUGCAGAGGAGAAUGAGAAGAGGAAAGGAAAGAGAAAGAAGUGGGCUGUCAGUGUGGAGCUGAGCCAGGCAGCUGAGUCAUCUGAUUCAGCAAAAAAGAAACAGGUGUCAUUUGUGGCUCUGGAGGAUGAAGAGAAGAAUGAUGAGGUGAGUGACAGUGGGGCCAUGGAGCUGGAGUUGUUGCAGCUGUGGGCGGAGGUGUACUGGCUCUGUAAUAUGG